UGGCUUCUAGCUCAAUUGGCAGAGCACCCGGCUGUUAACCGGGCGGUUCCAGGUUCGAGUCCCGGCCGGCCAG
RNAcentral lists this transfer RNA (73 nucleotides) under Trebonia kvetii. It matches the Rfam family "tRNA". From Rfam's summary of the family: Transfer RNA (tRNA) molecules are approximately 80 nucleotides in length. Their secondary structure includes four short double-helical elements and three loops (D, anti-codon, and T loops). Further hydrogen bonds mediate the characteristic L-shaped molecular structure. tRNAs have two regions of fundamental functional importance: the anti-codon, which is responsible for specific mRNA codon recognition, and the 3' end, to which the tRNAs corresponding amino acid is attached (by aminoacyl-tRNA synthetases). tRNAs cope with the degeneracy of the genetic code in two manners: having more than one tRNA (with a specific anti-codon) for a particular amino acid; and 'wobble' base-pairing, i.e. permitting non-standard base-pairing at the 3rd anti-codon position. Lineage: Bacteria; Bacillati; Actinomycetota; Actinomycetes; Streptosporangiales; Treboniaceae. The record is from Rfam by way of RNAcentral.